CAAAUAUGACAAUAGAAUAUUCCUAUUUUAAUUAUCAUGGUUUCUGAUGUGCCAGAUCAGUUUGAACUGCAAGCACAGAGCAUACUUAUGUUGGUUAAGGGUCCUGCAACGUUAUCCUGGAUUUCCCAGAAAUAACUCAGAGUGAUGAUCGGAGAGAGAAAGAGAAAUAGGUGCCGUCAACACGGACUUAUACAGUAGCAGUUGGUAAAAUGUAAUUGUAUUAAAAACCAAAUACAAUGUACUACCUUUUGUACUAUUUAUACAAUCACUGGUACUACUGCUACUACCGAGUUGUUAUAAACUUCGGUAUCCUUACAUGAGAAAGAUAAACUGGAAUACAUUUGA
Molecule: long non-coding RNA, 345 nt
Filed under: Manihot esculenta (cassava)
Lineage: Eukaryota; Viridiplantae; Streptophyta; Magnoliopsida; Malpighiales; Euphorbiaceae
Description: long non-coding RNA (MESC_LNC013044)
Source: RNAcentral